UGUAACUUACAGGAAUUUGCUGAGAAUGAA
RNAcentral lists this non-coding RNA (30 nucleotides) under Mus musculus (house mouse). The record is from RNAcentral. Lineage: Eukaryota; Metazoa; Chordata; Mammalia; Rodentia; Muridae.